Molecule: ribosomal RNA, 484 nt
Filed under: uncultured bacterium
Lineage: Bacteria
Description: partial 16S ribosomal RNA
Rfam family: Bacterial small subunit ribosomal RNA
Source: RNAcentral
AUUGAACGCUGGCGGCAGGCCUAACUCAUGCAAGUCGAGCGGAUGAAGGGAGCUUGCUCCUGGAUUCAGCGGCGGACGGGUGAGUAAUGCCUAGGAAUCUGUCUGGUAGUGGGGGAUAACGUCCGGAAACGGGCGCUAAUACCGCAUACGUCCUGAGGGAGAAAGUGGGGGAUCUUCGGACCUCACGCUAUCAGAUGAGCCUAGGUCGGAUUAGCUAGUUGGUGGGGUAAAGGCCUACCAAGGCGACGAUCCGUAACUGGUCUGAGAGGAUGAUCAGUCACACUGGAACUGAGACACGGUCCAGACUCCUACGGGAGGCAGCAGUGGGGAAUAUUGGACAAUGGGCGAAAGCCUGAUCCAGCCAUGCCGCGUGUGUGAAGAAGGUCUUCGGAUUGUAAAGCACUUUAAGUUGGGAGGAAGGGCAGUAAGUUAAUACCUUGCUGUUUUGACGUUACCAACAGAAUAAGCACCGGCUAACUUCGUG